Molecule: ribosomal RNA, 269 nt
Filed under: Klebsiella pneumoniae
Lineage: Bacteria; Pseudomonadati; Pseudomonadota; Gammaproteobacteria; Enterobacterales; Enterobacteriaceae
Description: partial 23S ribosomal RNA
Rfam family: Bacterial large subunit ribosomal RNA
Source: RNAcentral
GGUUAAGCGACUAAGCGUACACGGUGGAUGCCCUGGCAGUCAGAGGCGAUGAAGGACGUGCUAAUCUGCGAAAAGCGUCGGUAAGGUGAUAUGAACCGUUAUAACCGGCGAUGUCCGAAUUGGGAAACUCAUUGUGAUUUGUCACUCUAUCGUUAACUGAAUACAUAGGUUAACGAGGCGAACCGGGGGAACUGUAACAUCUAAGUACCCCGAGGAAAAGAAAUUAACCGCGAUUCCCCCAGUAGAGUCGUACGAACGGGGAGCAGCCC